This 492-nucleotide ribosomal RNA is filed under the name uncultured bacterium. RNAcentral describes it as "partial 16S ribosomal RNA". It matches the Rfam family "Bacterial small subunit ribosomal RNA", at positions 28 to 507 of the family's 1533-position model. The record is from RNAcentral.
GAUGAACGCUCGCUACAGGCUUAACACAUGCAAGUCGAGGGGAAACGGCAUUGAGUGCUUGCACUCUUUGGACGUCGACCGGCGCACGGGUGGGUAACGCGUAUCCAACCUUCCCAUUACUGUGGGAUAACCUGCCGAAAGGCAGACUAAUACCGCAUAGUCUUCGAUGACGGCAUCAGAUUUGAAGUAAAGAUUUAUCGGUAAUGGAUGGGGAUGCGUCUGAUUAGCUUGUUGGCGGGGUAACGGCCCACCAAGGCUACGAUCAGUAGGGGUUCUGAGAGGAAGGUCCCCCACAUUGGAACUGAGACACGGUCCAAACUCCUACGGGAGGCAGCAGUGAGGAAUAUUGGUCAAUGGACGGAAGUCUGAACCAGCCAAGUAGCGUGCAGGAUGACGGCCCUAUGGGUUGUAAACUGCUUUUGUAUGGGGAUAAAGUUAGGGACGGGUCCCUAUUUGCAGGUACCAUACGAAUAAGGACCGGCUAAUUCCGUG